RNAcentral lists this ribosomal RNA (207 nucleotides) under uncultured bacterium. RNAcentral's name for it is "partial 16S ribosomal RNA". It matches the Rfam family "Bacterial small subunit ribosomal RNA", at positions 568 to 774 of the family's 1533-position model. The record is from RNAcentral.
CACGUAGGCGGACUGGAAAGUUGGAGGUGAAAUCCCAGGGCUCAACCUUGGAACUGCCUUCAAAACUAUCAGUCUGGAGUUCGAGAGAGGUGAGUGGAAUUCCGAGUGUAGAGGUGAAAUUCGUAGAUAUUCGGAGGAACAGCAGUGGCGAAGGCGGCUCACUGGCUCGAUACUGACGCUGAGGUGCGAAAGUGUGGGGAGCAAACA